GGAAGGAUGUCCGAGCGGUUUAAGGAGGCGGUCUUGAAAACCGUUGUAGGGAGACCUACCGUGGGUUCGAAUCCCACUCCUUCCG
RNAcentral lists this transfer RNA (85 nucleotides) under Spirochaetota bacterium. RNAcentral describes it as "tRNA-Ser". It matches the Rfam family "tRNA". Rfam says of the family: Transfer RNA (tRNA) molecules are approximately 80 nucleotides in length. Their secondary structure includes four short double-helical elements and three loops (D, anti-codon, and T loops). Lineage: Bacteria; Pseudomonadati; Spirochaetota. The record is from RNAcentral.